Molecule: ribosomal RNA, 247 nt
Filed under: uncultured bacterium
Lineage: Bacteria
Description: partial 16S ribosomal RNA
Rfam family: Bacterial small subunit ribosomal RNA
Source: RNAcentral
AUACGGAGGGUGCGAGUGUUAUUCGGAAUCACUGGGCGUAAAGAGCACGUAGGCGGAUCGGUAAGUCAGAUGUGAAAUCCCGGAGCUCAACUCCGGAACUGCAUUUGAUACUGCCAGUCUUGAGUGAGGUAGAGGGGGGUGGAAUUCCCGGUGUAGAGGUGAAAUUCGUAGAUAUCGGGAGGAACACCAGAGGCGAAGGCGACCCCCUGGGCCUUUACUGACGCUGAGGUGCGAAAGCGUGGGGAGC